GACGAACGCUGGCGGCGUGCUUAACACAUGCAAGUCGAACGGAAAGGCCCUGCUUUUGUGGGGUGCUCGAGUGGCGAACGGGUGAGUAACACGUGAGUAACCUGCCCUUGACUUUGGGAUAACUUCAGGAAACUGGGGCUAAUACCGGAUAGGAGCUCCUGCUGCAUGGUGGGGGUUGGAAAGUUUCGACGGUUGGGGAUGGACUCGCGGCUUAUCAGCUUGUUGGUGGGGUAGUGGCUUACCAAGGCUUUGACGGGUAGCCGGCCUGAGAGGGUGACCGGCCACAUUGGGACUGAGAUACGGCCCAGACUCCUACGGGAGGCAGCAGUGGGGAAUAUUGCACAAUGGGCGGAAGCCUGAUGCAGCAACGCCGCGUGCGGGAUGACGGCCUUCGGGUUGUAAACCGCUUUCGCCUGUGACAAAGCGUGAGUGACGGUAAUGGGUAAAGAAGCACCGGCUAACUACGUG
This 468-nucleotide ribosomal RNA is filed under the name uncultured bacterium. Its description in RNAcentral is "partial 16S ribosomal RNA". It matches the Rfam family "Bacterial small subunit ribosomal RNA", at positions 28 to 507 of the family's 1533-position model. The record is from RNAcentral.